RNAcentral lists this long non-coding RNA (2256 nucleotides) under Marmota monax (woodchuck). The record is from RNAcentral. Lineage: Eukaryota; Metazoa; Chordata; Mammalia; Rodentia; Sciuridae.
AUUUAUUUAGUGUAAAGUCUUUUAUUCUGUUCGUCUUGCUUUUAUGUUAUUAUUAAAAUAUCAUUUUAUGAAAUUAUGGUGAUACAGAAUGAUUUUGGGGUGAUGUAGAUUACGGUGCUUACUUGGAAUAAUAAAAAUUAGCCAUCUGAUCUUGGACUGAAAAUACCUUUUAAAUUUUUACUAGUCCAGAGGUGUCGUCAUUGGAGGAAAACACGUGAGUGAAGAAAUCACACGUUGACCAGCUAGCUGACUUCAACCAGGAAAAUCUGUGAACCACAAAGAACUCUCCAAAGUCAUGACAGAAACUUAGUGAAGCAGAUGGAAACAAUAUUGUUUUGGCAGGGAACAGCAAUAUGUUGGAUCAAAAAUAAUCAAAUUAUAUUAAAGCAAUAAAGAGGCAGUAGGAAUGGAACAGAAUGAUUUGAUGGAAACAGUUGUUUAACAAACACAUAUUUAUCCUCCUUCACUUGCCAGAUAUUGUGCCAGGCAGUCGGGAGGGGACACAACAAUGAACAUGACAUGUUCCACACUCUGAAAGGUCUCAUUGUCUAGCGCCCAGACAGGGUGAGGAGACCGCGGUGAUGGAGAUGAGUACAGUGUCCCAAAGCACCUCAAGGGAGAGGACCCAGCCCAACCUGGAGGGUACAGAUAUUUCAGGGAUAGUAAAUGGCAGGUAGAAAGACAAGAAGUCACUGCGUGUGUGACGGAAGAAAUGAUGUCAGUGGAUAACUUAUUAAAGACAUUUGCCUGAAAAGAAUAAAGAAUGCUAAAUGGGGAUAGUUUGGAAUGGACAAGAAUUGGUUUGGAGUAUGUUUUAAUUUUCUGUUCAAUGUUUUGUUGUUGUUGUUAUUGUUAUUUUGGAUUGGGUUGUUUGGUUUUUUAAUCAGGAUGGGAGAGUCUUAAGUAUGUAUUUAAGCUGAAAAGAAGUUGAAGUGAAACAGAAGGAAGAGGAGGAGGAGUGGAAGAAGAAGAGGAAGAAAAUGAAGGAGGAAAGGAAAAAGAAAAAAAAAACCCUUUUGAACGCUGAGAAAGGGAUAAGAAAUUUACUAAGGCACCAGCUCAGAAGCCUGGGAGAAAGGUACAGGUGUAGGGUGGUCUUGCUAAGAAGAAGCAUCUCUCUCUGGAGAAUGAUAGAUUCACUAGACUGUUGUGGCAGUAGAUGACUUGGCAGGGAGUGGCUGGGAAGCUAAGUGUGUUAGUCAGCUUUCAGUUACUGUAACGAAUACCUGAGACAAGUCAUCUUAAAAGAGGAAUAGGUUUGUUUGAUGGGCUUCAGUUUGUUGUUGGUUGGCUUAUUGCUUUGGGACCUGUAGUGAGAUAGUAGAGGCUGCUGCUCGCCUCAAAGGACCUGAGAAGCAAAGAGGAAAGAAGGGGUCACAACAUCCCACUGAAUAUCCACUUCAAGGGCUAAUUUCCUUCCACUAGGCCCUACUUCCUAAAGGUCCCACCACCUUGCAAUAGCACUGCAGGCUGACCACCAAGACUUUAUUUAACACCUGGGUUUGUGGGGGACACUUAUCCAAAGCAUAGCAUUGAGCUUUAUCCUAACCGAUAGUCUUCAACAUCCUUAAUACAGGCCAGAGAAUACAGGCUGUUAAAAAUGAGUCAGAGUUGGAGAUGAAUGAGGAAGGUUUAGAUAAAUUACUGAGAAACUGACAGGGAGAGGUCCAAGGAUGAGUACCGCCCACCAAGUGUGGGGUAUUGGUUCCUGUCUGCAACACAGUGAGGGCUUUCUCUAGCGGUGAUAAUUGGAGCUAGGUGAUAACCCGCUGGAGAAAAGGUGGAUUGAAAAGGAAAAGGUGGAUUGCAGCUUUCAUUCAACUUGUUUAUUUCCCUUGUUGGAGGCAGUAGAAACACCAGUAAUUGAAAGUACAUAUCAAAAGUACAGGUGGGUAACAGCGGUGUCUGUUUCUGCCUGUAUUUAAGAGAAAGACUGAGUCUGCAGAGGGAGAGAGACAGGAAGAAAUGGGAUCAGGAGGCAGCAUUGGAGUUGAAAACUUCGGAAUGAAGCACUCUGGGCCAGUAAAAGAUGUGGGCUGCGGCCCAGCGAUGGUCCUGGAGUGAAGGAUUACAGUGUGGGAAGGUUUCUACAGGGACUUGGCCUCCUCUGCUGGAGUUGGAGUGAAACAGAAGUGUAUGAACUAGAGUCAAGUAUUUAAUGAGUAAGAAAAAGCAACUGGAGAUUGAUUGAGGCCUCGACUCAAAAGUCAUGGAAAAUAAGGAUUAAGAAACAGCCUCUCAGCCGGGUAUGGUGGU